This 1364-nucleotide long non-coding RNA is filed under the name Vombatus ursinus (common wombat). Its description in RNAcentral is "lncRNA (ENSVURG00010018983.1)". Lineage: Eukaryota; Metazoa; Chordata; Mammalia; Diprotodontia; Vombatidae. The record is from RNAcentral.
AGGGCCUAGAAUUGCGCUCUGCAGACAGUAGAUGCUUAAUAAGUGUUUAUUGAAUUUCGACAAUUAGACGGAGAGCUUGCAGAUAGUGAUGAGAAAUAUUUCCUUGUUUGGGCACUCUUUCCACAUUACCUAAGAAAAGACUGUAUGUGCUUUGUAGGCAAGUUUCAACACUUUUUUUUAAAAUGGUGAACUCAGUGUAAUUUUUUCUGAGAAGUUAAUUGCCUGACUGACACUAGGACAACAAAACAUAGGAACUGUAUGUUCUGGUCUCAGGAUAGACAUAGAGUUAAUCUGAAGCAGCUGGCCAAACCUAACGGUGUCUGUUAAUCUUGGAAAUUUGCAUUUCAGAAUUAUUAAUUUUUUGUUGACAAAAACUGCUUUACUAAUCUGUAUUUGUAAUCCUUGACUAGCAAUUACUCACUGGCUUGUGACUCUGAAUAAAGUACACUUUGAAGGAUUAGCGUGCCCUUAGUGCCACAUCAUCAGGAACCCUGCCCCAGAAUGAGGUAUAAAGGCAGCUGACUAGAUGGCCAGAGUAUUCAUUAGAAUCCUCAGACAUUCAGGUGCUGCUGAAGCAUCAGAGAUAAACCUUUGAGAAGAUGAAGAUUCUCCUGCUCACUGUGGGGCUGGCCUUGGUCUGUGGUCUCCAGGCCCUCGAUAACAAUGAAGAAGGCUCACCAAAGGUUAGUGGAAAGUGGUUCACUAUUGCAUUGGCCUCAAAUGUGACAUCUAAGAUUGAAGAAGGAGGUAGCUUGCAGGUGUUUGUCAAAAAUCUUAGUGAACACAAUGGUAAUCUUUAUGGAGACUUCUUCAAAAGGUAAGUGCUAUAAAGUUGGUGUUAGUUGGUGGAUAUGGAAGUGGGGACAAAAACCUGGGUAAUAGUUCUAGGAUCCUUUAACCCACCCAGGCUGAACCAGGAGUCAAUUAAUGAUGAAGACCCCAGGAUGUGGUUGGUUUUAUGAACAUUAAGGUAAUCGUUCAAGGAAAAACAAAUUAAUAGGCUACACACAUACUUGAAGCUUGUGUGCAGUGGUGAAGGACAAUGCUGAUUAAUGGUAUUUUUAUAUGAAGUUUGGAUUUUUGAAUCACCCUCUGGGAGAAUUACCAUUUCCUUUCUGUGCCUAACUUUCCUGAGUCACCAGUCUCCAUUUCAUAGUAGAGAUAGGAUACUUGAGGCCACUCCGCUAAGAAGACAAAAAGCAGAGUGAGAGAGAAGAAAGAAAGAUGUUCACUUAACUCACACGUUCACAGUAGCUUAUUUAGCCAUUCCCCAAUUGAUGGGCAUCAACUUUGCUUAUAAUUCUUUCCUACUCCAAAAAAACACUAUCGAUAUUUUUCUUAAUAAAGGGCCUCUCUUUUACUCA